RNAcentral lists this ribosomal RNA (408 nucleotides) under uncultured bacterium. RNAcentral describes it as "partial 16S ribosomal RNA". It matches the Rfam family "Bacterial small subunit ribosomal RNA", at positions 30 to 526 of the family's 1533-position model. The record is from RNAcentral.
AUUGAACGCUGGCGGCGUGCCUAAUACAUGCAAGUCGAACGGAGUGGCGCACGGGUGAGUAAUAUAUAGCUAAUCUGCCCCUUGCUGGAGGACAACAGUUAGAACUGACUGCUAAUACUCCAUAGCAAGGGAUGAGACGAUAUCGUAUCAGCUAGUCGGUGGGGUAACGGCCUACCUAGGCUAUGACGCGUAACUGGUCUGAGAGGAUGAUCAGUCAAAUUCGAAGUGAGACACGGUGCAGAAUCAUUCGGGAGGCAGCAGUAGGGAAUAUUGCGCAAUGGGGGAAGCCCUGAAGGACCAACGCCGCGUGGAGGAUGACCAUUUUGGGAGCGUAAACUCAUUUUGUUAGGGAAGCGGUACCUAACGAAUAAGCACCGGCUAACUCCGUGCCAGCCGCCGCGGUAAUAC